CUUUGGACAGUAUCAACCCUUGGCUUGAAGGAGGAGAUUUUGAUCGAGACAGACAUGUAUCGCAAAUAAAAUGCCUUACCUAAAGCUUACAAUGGUGAUCAAAUUGAAAAUACAAGGAGUUUUGAGACUUCAACAAAAAGAAUAAAAUUUAUUAGAGGACAAAAAUAAAGACGCCUACAAAAAGCAAGCAAACAAACGGGGGCCAUUGGAGAUUUUGCAUUUGCAUUUGCAAUCCCUCUGAUUACCUCCAAUACAUGUAGAAAGGGAGCUCUUUUAUACUGAUAAUUGGCAGAUAGGAUAUGAAAAUUUUCAGCCCCAUCUAAUAAUUGCAGAACCCCAGGUUAGGCCGGCUCCAAAACCUGCAGUUGCAAUAGUGUGGCCUGGCUUCACCUUCCCACUUCGAAUAGCUUCGUCCAAAGCCAAUGGAAUGGAAGCAGCACUUGUGUUACCAUAAUUUGCUAAAUUUGAUAUGAUCCUUUCUGGUGGGACUUCUAAGCGUGUUGCAACUGCAUCAAGGAUCCUCUGAUUUGCCUGCAAAAAUUAAUAAUUGUUAUUACUACGUCACAUGCACGCGAUCUCAGGCAUAUCAUAUAAGACAAAUUUGAGAACCUUAAUAUUUACCAUAGUAGAACUUCCUAUUGGAAAACCAUAGUAGAACUUCCUAAAAUCUGCAUAUCAUUUCAAGAUCCUCAUUAAAACAUCUAGUUUUUACCUUGUGUGCAGCCUAAUAAUAAAGCAUACACAACCUGCCUUUAGUAUUUUCACCCCUUCUGACUUCUGAGAUCAAAACUACAUAUUUGCUGUAGUUUCUGGCCUCAGUAGACUUUCUCAUGUCCUUCUAUAGGAAAUUAACACCAUGAUUCAUGAACCAAUCUAAUGGCCAUCAAAAUUUCUUCCUUCUACUAGAACAUUUACAAGAUUAAUCAAUCUGAGACUCUCGGUAUUGACAAUCUGAUGGCACAAUAAGGUGUAUUAUCAAAUUAGAAUUUACCCUGUAUUAUAUUCUGUGACUGUAUUUCAUACCUGGUGGAGCAGUAACCAAUCAAUGCUAGACCCAGUGAGACCAGCCUUUUCAAGGGCAGACUCUACAGAUUGUGGCACACAUCGUACAGCAAAGCGAAAAACCUCUUUUCCAUUCAUCUGAAUGCAAGAAUACGAGGUAUGCCAGGGAGGGAAGCCUAAAACUGAACCGUUAGAUUCCAGUGCAUGAUCCACUUCGUUUUCUUUGAUGGUGGCUUUCAAAUGUCUGCAUGAGGGUUUUAUAGGUGAUCUGACACAUUCCUAGCAGAAAGAUGCAGAAUAUGUUUCACUGGGAACAUGAGAAGCACAUACCUUUGGCCAUCACCAUCACUAUGCAAGUCAAAACUAAACAAACCAUCAUCCUCACUGUCACAGGCCUGCAGAAUUAUAUGUGUCUCAAAACUAAGCAGCUACAAAUUGAUUGUUUACAUAUAAAUAAAUAAACAAAAGAAAACAAAGAGGGUGGGAAUCAAGGUGGGGGGAAGACCUAAGGUUACAGAGAGCUUUAACAAAAAAAAUAAAACUACAUUGCAGAUGAAAAUAAGAUAUUUCCCCCUGCUUGGGUGUUGUUGAAGGUUUAUUAUCGAGUAAAUACAUCUAAUUGACAUGCAGCCUCACAUGAAGAGGUGGGGAUCCAAACCACAAACUAUUGUCCUAAAGAAACCAAGUCUUUGAUGGGAGAUACUGCUAACAAAUGAGCCCAUUAAUGAUUCUCUUUCCUUUUUCCCGUGAGUAAAGCUCCCUCUUGAGGAAGCAUCAUAGCAUGUUAAUGAGCACAAUGUUUUGUCCAGACAAAAAAAGUAUGCACACUACAGCGAGAACUACUACAAAAUUUGAUGCAUGAUAUGAUUUUAGCAAAGGUAAUGAUUAUCAACCAAGAAGAAAAGGUUAUCAAUGUAAAUUAAAGGUUAGUAGCCUCAAGUAAAGAGAGGUCAGGUCAAUCCCCAACUCCAAUUAGUUGAGAUCAGCUAAAUAGAUCAUUCCCCUCCGUUCACUUGAGAAGCACCAUUGAAACAAAAAGGGAUAAUGACUAAAAAAGUCUGUACUUUUGGUCCGAUUUGCAACUACAACCAAUCCUUUUAAUCUUGCCAAUUAGACAUAUAACCUUUCACAUGGAUAUAAAUUAUAGCCAAACUUAUUAGAGUACGUCCCUAAAUUUUGAAAUUAUGGACACAACAUACAUUUUAUUCAUAAUAAAAAUAUUAGAGGUAGAGAGAAAUAGAGAGAAAAGAUGCAAUAAAAAGAUCCGGAUUUUGCUUUUCCUAUUUUUCUAAUUUUCAAGUUUUACAUAAUAAUUAAUAACUUUUAAAAUAUAGUCAAUCAUUUUUUUACAGGUCUUACGCUUAACGUACCAUAUCAUAUGCUAAUAGGAAAACUUUUUUCAAUAAAAUAUGUCAGGUUAGCAGUUUGAUGGCUUUAGCAUGCACUCUUUCAGGUUUGGCUGCAAGCCAAUAAUUGAUAACAAUAUGAAAGGUUGUAUAUAUUAUUAACAAAACUAAAAGAAUUUGCUACAAUUGCAAAUUGGACCAAAGCUAUGUAUUUUUUAGGUCAUUAACCCCAAAAAAAAAUUCUGCCAAUGAUAUCAAGAAAAUUAAAUCACAAAAUACCAUGAGGCAUAUCUAAGCUGCUAUAGAUGUACAACUUAAAAAAAAUAAGGUCAAAAUGUAGACCAUACCUGUACGAGCACAGCACCUGCAGCAUCCCCAAAGAGAAUACAAGUUCCUCUAUCCGUCCAGUCAACAUAUCGAGAAAGAGAAUCAGCGCCAACAACCAAUACAUUUUGAAACCCACCUCCCCUAAUGUGACAAGCAGCUGAAACCAGACCCAAUAUGAAUCCACUACAUGCAGCUGUAAUAUCAUAAGCCAAAGGAUUUCUUUUGCAGCCAAGUGCCUUUUGGAUCUGAGGAGCACUACCAAAAAGAUCUUCUGGUGUAGAUGUGCACAUCAAGACUAGGUCCACAUCAUCAGGCUCCACUUCUGCCAUCUGAAGAGCCUUACUAGCUGCCUCUGCAGCUAGAGAAAUCAAGCUAUCUUUGCCUGUAAAAGUGGUGCUGGAAUCAAAUUAAUAACCUCUUGCAGAGCAAGAGAAUUGAACAAAACAAGUGCACCUUCCACAUUGUAAACAACCAGCCAUAGAUAAGGAGACCGAUAAUGCUUGUGGAAACACAAAUCAUCUUUUGAUGACUACCAUACUACAACAUUGAUGUUUUGUAAUCCAGCAACCAUUAGAUAGUUCGCUUUGGAGACGCUUCACCCUAAAAACAUACUGAGAUGCCCAGUUUAUCUAUUAAGAGAUAUCAUAAAGCAGGAAACCAGAAAUGGCCAUCAUAUGAUGACACGUCAACCAAGACAAGUACAACUUCCAUGGCUCAAAGCCUAAAGCCAUCAAGAUGAAUGCCCUUCACCUAGGCUCAAAAUCAGCUUUCAAACAUUGUGAUCAAGAAUCUGAGUUACAGGCCUAUAUGUUAGACUGUUCAUGGCCAUUGCAGAUACGACACAAAUGCACACAAGUAAGGACUGACCUGUAAGAACUCUUCGAUUGCGAAUCCCAGUUCGAACAGAUAUCCAUUCAUCAUUUGUAUCAACUAUUUUUGCAAGAUCAUCAUUUGAAACCUGAAGAGUGGGUACUGCUGAGCCACUUCCAACUAGCUUGCAGCCUUUACUAAUAAGCCUGGGUAUUCGAGAUUGAGAACUAGAAAGCUUCUCUGCACCUUCAAUGGCGCCGGAGCAAAAUACCCUCUUUGAUAUUCUAUAGGAGGAGAAAAACCCAGAUCCAAUAAUCCCUAUUGAAGGUCUAAUCCUCCUCUUUAGGCUUGGAACUGAAGGGGUAAAUAAUCCAGAUGCAUUUGCCAUUUAUUCCACUAACACACUAAACGAAGAAAAUGAAGAUAUGUGCUGCAGCUGUAGCGAGAGAAAAAAGCAAGGAUCUUUGUUUUUCAGCUUAUAUAUAGAGCAAGAGAACGAGAAUGAUAAGUGUUUAUAGACACUGCGCCCAUAAGAUUAGAAAGGC
RNAcentral lists this unclassified non-coding RNA (4030 nucleotides) under Hevea brasiliensis (rubber tree). Lineage: Eukaryota; Viridiplantae; Streptophyta; Magnoliopsida; Malpighiales; Euphorbiaceae. The record is from RNAcentral.